GAGUUUGAUCCUGGCUCAGAUUGAACGCUGGCGGCAUGCCUUACACAUGCAAGUCGAACGGCAGCAUGAUCUAGCUUGCUAGAUUGAUGGCGAGUGGCGAACGGGUGAGUAAUACAUCGGAACGUGCCCUGUAGUGGGGGAUAACUAGUCGAAAGAUUAGCUAAUACCGCAUACGACCUGAGGGUGAAAGUGGGGGACCGCAAGGCCUCACGCUAUAGGAGCGGCCGAUGUCUGAUUAGCUAGUUGGUGGGGUAAAGGCCCACCAAGGCGACGAUCAGUAGCUGGUCUGAGAGGACGAUCAGCCACACUGGGACUGAGACACGGCCCAGACUCCUACGGGAGGCAGCAGUGGGGAAUUUUGGACAAUGGGCGAAAGCCUGAUCCAGCAAUGCCGCGUGUGUGAAGAAGGCCUCGG
RNAcentral lists this ribosomal RNA (415 nucleotides) under uncultured microorganism. RNAcentral describes it as "bacterial SSU rRNA". It matches the Rfam family "Bacterial small subunit ribosomal RNA", at positions 9 to 420 of the family's 1533-position model. The record is from RNAcentral.